AGCAAGUGCAGUAUGGAAAUACCAACCUCAGUAUUCCAGAGUUCAGAGGGUUCUCAAAAGGAUUCCAAGGCAGUACACAUACUAGAUGGGGCAGAACUUAUUGACUAAGAGUAAAAUGAAAGUGAAGGACACAAGUUAAAAGGUUUUAGUAAGACUAUGCUUAACAAAAGUCUUUUCUUUUGAAAUAGUUUAAUAAAAACAAAAGAGGCUUGUUUGAAGAGAUGAACAGAAGUCAAAACACUUUAGGACAAUUUUUCACAUAGCUAGUUCAUAGAACCAAGUAAAUUCAGUAAUCACACACAGAAGUCAAGGGGUUUGGGACACAUAGAACAUUUGGCAGCAAAUAUAGAACCCAGCAAAGGUCGUAGGAUUGGUUUAGACAUGCUCAAUAACAACUGACACUAGCAUAGUCACAGAACUAGUCAGGAAGAACACAAACACAUAGAUGGGUGAUACAGAUUUGGGGAUCCAUGGGAUAUAUGAUGGUAAGUAUACAAUAAGUAGGAGACAAUUGGUAAGACAUGACUAGGAACAGACAUAAGGGGAAUGUAAUAAUCUAAAGGAAGAAGAAGACAAAAUAACAUGCUGAGAAUGUAACUCUUAACUACAAAUUUCACAACAGAACCACAAGUAGAAGCAAACCAGAAACAAGAGAAACUGAAACAAUAGGAGAAACAUGUUGUUUUUGGAACUUUAAAUUGAAACUAGGACAUACCAGUGAAGAGUAGAGUAAGCAGAAUGAAAUAACAAAAGAGAGAAAAUGGUUAGCCUUGGCUUGUAGCCGGCUAACAGUAGCAAAUAACAUAAGAGAGAGAGUUGAGAUUUUUAGUAAGAAAGGUAGCUUUUGAACUCAAACGUUCGUAUGUCAAUGUUAAUGAAAUAUCGGAGUAUAAUAGUUGAAAACGGGUAGUAAAAUAAGGUAAGAAUCAUAGUAGCAUGGUAAUUAAGGAUCUCAGAAUUAGUCAGUCAGCAAUCAUGGAAUGUACUCCCUUAAGCUAAGGGGAUUACUUCAAACGGUAAGAAUCAACAUAUAAUGCAAGAAAGAUCAGUAUGGGAUUAAUAAGGAAAGAUUAAAAGUUCAGCAAGCAUAGAGUAUUCAAUUAGGACUAUGUUCCGAAAAAUCCAAUUAAGGAAUUAUUUGGUAAAAAUAAAGUAC
This 1156-nucleotide long non-coding RNA is filed under the name Nicotiana benthamiana. RNAcentral describes it as "long non-coding RNA (NBEN_LNC020236)". The record is from RNAcentral. Lineage: Eukaryota; Viridiplantae; Streptophyta; Magnoliopsida; Solanales; Solanaceae.